RNAcentral lists this ribosomal RNA (497 nucleotides) under uncultured bacterium. Its description in RNAcentral is "partial 16S ribosomal RNA". It matches the Rfam family "Bacterial small subunit ribosomal RNA", at positions 28 to 507 of the family's 1533-position model. The record is from RNAcentral.
GACGAACGCUGGCGGCGUGCCUAAUACAUGCAAGUAGAACGCUGAAGAGAGGAGCUUGCUCUUCUUGGAUGAGUUGCGAACGGGUGAGUAACGCGUAGGUAACCUGCCUUGUAGCGGGGGAUAACUAUUGGAAACGAUAGCUAAUACCGCAUAACAAUGGAUGACACAUGUCAUUUAUUUGAAAGGGGCAAUUGCUCCACUACAAGAUGGACCUGCGUUGUAUUAGCUAGUAGGUGAGGUAAUGGCUCACCUAGGCGACGAUACAUAGCCGACCUGAGAGGGUGAUCGGCCACACUGGGACUGAGACACGGCCCAGACUCCUACGGGAGGCAGCAGUAGGGAAUCGUCGGCAAUGGGGGCAACCCUGACCGAGCAACGCCGCGUGAGUGAAGAAGGUUGUCGGAUCGUAAAGCUCGGUUGUAAGUCAAGAACGGGUGUGAGAGUGGAAAGUUCACACUGUGACGGUAGCUUACCAGAAAGGGACGGCUAACUACGUG